AAACUCCGAAUGCCAGCAACUUAUACUCGGGAGUCAGACUGCGAGUGAUAAGGUCCGUGUUCGAGAGGGAAACAGCCCAGACCACCAGCUAAGGUCCCAAAAUAUAUGUUAAGUGGAAAAGGAUGUGGCGUUGCCCAGACAACUAGGAUGUUAGCUUAGAAGCAGCUAUUCAUUCAAAGAGUGCGUAAUAGCUCACUAGUCGAGUGACCCUGCGCCGAAAAUGUACCGGGGCUAAAACAAUUUACCGAAGCUGUGGAUACCUUUAUAGGUAUGGUAGGAGAGCGUUCUAUGUGUGGCGAAGGUGUACCGUGAGGAGCACUGGAACGCAUAGAAGUGAGAAUGCCGGUAUGAGU
Molecule: ribosomal RNA, 353 nt
Filed under: Klebsiella pneumoniae
Lineage: Bacteria; Pseudomonadati; Pseudomonadota; Gammaproteobacteria; Enterobacterales; Enterobacteriaceae
Description: bacterial LSU rRNA
Rfam family: Bacterial large subunit ribosomal RNA
Source: RNAcentral